GAUGAACGCUGGCGGCGUGCCUAAUACAUGCAAGUCGAGCGAACGGACGAGAAGCUUGCUUCUCUGAUGUUAGCGGCGGACGGGUGAGUAACACGUGGAUAACCUACCUAUAAGACUGGGAUAACUUCGGGAAACCGGAGCUAAUACCGGAUAAUAUUUUGAACCGCAUGGUUCAAAAGAGAAAGACGGUCUUGCUGUCACUUAUAGAUGGAUCCUCGCUGCAUUAGCUAGUUGGUAAGGUAACGGCUUACCAAGGCAACGAUGCAUAGCCGACCUGAGAGGGUGAUCGGCCACACUGGAACUGAGACACGGUCCAGACUCCUACGGGAGGCAGCAGUAGGGAAUCUUCCGCAAUGGGCGAAAGCCUGACGGAGCAACGCCGCGUGAGUGAUGAAGGUCUUCGGAUCGUAAAACUCUGUUAUUAGGGAAGAACAUAUGUGUAAGUAACUGUGCACAUCUUGACGGUACCUAAUCAGAAAGCCACGGCUAACUACGUG
This 497-nucleotide ribosomal RNA is filed under the name uncultured bacterium. RNAcentral describes it as "partial 16S ribosomal RNA". It matches the Rfam family "Bacterial small subunit ribosomal RNA", at positions 28 to 507 of the family's 1533-position model. The record is from RNAcentral.